AAAAGGCGAAACGUCAUGUGACCUGCAUGCUUUGCGAAUCAUCAAAUCUUUGAACGCAUCUUGCACCGGACGCCCUGCGCAUCCGGUAUGCUUGUUUGAGCACGGCGUAGACACUCACGCGCGCCCUGGGCACGGCGGCGUGGAUAUAUGGACGUGUGGACGCUGACGUGGGGCACCAAGGCGAACGGUUUGGGGAACACCGCGUACACCUGCCUCGCCGAUAGACCACUCGACUGAAAUGCAGGCCGCGGCCUUGCCGAUGGGUUGAGACCCUUCAGAGGCAGGCGUGGCGGGAUGGCACCAUAUCCGUGCCAGACCACACCUGAUGAUGAUAUGGUUGCGUCGCUUGCGACACGAUCCGCUCAUCGCAAUUCUCAUCCACCGUCUCAAAUCAAGCAAG
Molecule: unclassified non-coding RNA, 400 nt
Filed under: uncultured fungus
Lineage: Eukaryota; Fungi
Description: sequence contains ITS1
Rfam family: 5.8S ribosomal RNA (bases 1-105)
Source: RNAcentral